GUCCUUUUGGUAUUUAUUUAAGGUCUAACCUGCCCUAUGAUUAUUUAAAUGGCCGCGGUACUCUGACCGUGCAAAGGUAGCAUAAUCAUUUGUCUUUUAAUUGAAGGCUGGAAUGAAUGGUUGGACGAGAAAUAGACUUUCUUUACUAUAUUUAUUAGAAUUUAAUUUUUAAGUUAAAAAGCUUAAAUUUUUUUAUAGGACGAGAAGACCCUGUAGAACUUUAUUUGUUUUUAAAAUGAAUUAUUUUGGUUUAUAUUUGUUUUGUUUUUGGAAUAAAUUUUGUUGGGGUGAUGUGAAAAUUUUUUUAACUUUUCAUUAUUUUAUUCAUUAAUUUAUGUUUUUUUGAUCCAAUUUUAUUGAUUAAAAGAUUAAGUUACCUCAGGGAUAACAGCGUAAUUUUUUCGGAGAGUUCUUAUUGAUGAAGAAGUUUGCGA
This 434-nucleotide ribosomal RNA is filed under the name Anisops sardeus. RNAcentral describes it as "partial 16S ribosomal RNA". It matches the Rfam family "Bacterial large subunit ribosomal RNA", at positions 1829 to 2523 of the family's 2925-position model. Lineage: Eukaryota; Metazoa; Arthropoda; Insecta; Hemiptera; Notonectidae. The record is from RNAcentral.